This 150-nucleotide non-coding RNA is filed under the name human gut metagenome. The record is from RNAcentral.
CCGGCGCGAGCCGGGGUAAUAGGAAACCGGGUGAGAAUCCCGGGCGAUCCGGUCACUGUAUUCGGAGAGCGAAGCCGCACAUGCCAUUGCGAGAGCGAGAAGGCGCGGCCCAGCGAGGAUCCGUAAGCCAGGAAGCCUGCUUGGGGGGAA